RNAcentral lists this ribosomal RNA (406 nucleotides) under uncultured bacterium. Its description in RNAcentral is "partial 16S ribosomal RNA". It matches the Rfam family "Bacterial small subunit ribosomal RNA", at positions 30 to 526 of the family's 1533-position model. The record is from RNAcentral.
AUUGAACGCUGGCGGCAGGCCUAACACAUGCAAGUCGAACGAGUGGCAGACGGGUGAGUAAUGUCUGGGAAACUGCCUGAUGGAGGGGGAUACUUAUUGGAAACGGUAGCUAAUACCGCAUACCAUCAGAUGUGCCCAGAUGGGAUUGGCUUGUUGGUGGGGUAACGGCUCACCAAGGCCACGAUCCCUAGCUGGGCUGAGAGGGUGACCAACACAACUGGAACUGAAACACGGUGCAGACUCCAUCGGGGGGCAGCAGUGGGGACUAUUGCACAAUGGGCACAAGCCGAAUGCACCCAUGCCGCGGGGUUGAAGAGGUCCUUCGGGUUGGAAAGCACUUUCAGCGGGAAGGCGUUACCCGCAGAAGAAGCGCCGGCUAACUCCGUGCCAGCAGCCGCGGUAAUUC